CCAAGGCGAUGACGGGUAGCCGGUCUGAGAGGAUGUCCGGCCACACUGGAACUGAGACACGGUCCAGACACCUACGGGUGGCAGCAGUCGAGAAUCAUUCACAAUGGGGGAAACCCUGAUGGUGCGACGCCGCGUGGGGGAAUGAAGGUCUUCGGAUUGUAAACCCCUGUCAUGUGGGAGCAAAUUAAAAAGAUAGUACCACAAGAGGAAGAGACGGCUAACUCUGUGCCAGCAGCCGCGGUAAUACAGAGGUCUCAAGCGUUGUUCGGAAUCACUGGGCGUAAACCGUGCGUAGGCUGUUUCGUAAGUCGUGUGUGAAAGGCGCGGGCUCAACCCGCGGACGGCACAUGAUACUGCGAGACUAGAGUAAUGGAGGGGGAACCGGAAUUCUCGGUGUAGCAGUGAAAUGCGUAGAUAUCGAGAGGAACACUCGUGGCGAAGGCGGGUUCCUGGACAUUAACUGACGCUGAGGCACGAAGGCCAGGGGAGCGAAAGGGAUUAGAUACCCCUGUAGUCCUGGCAGUAAACGGUGCACGCUUGGUGUGCGGGGAAUCGACCCCCUGCGUGCCGGAGCUAACGCGUUAAGCGUGCCGCCUGGGGAGUACGGUCGCAAGAUUAAAACUCAAAGAAAUUGACGGGGACCCGCACAAGCGGUGGAGUAUGUGGCUUAAUUCGAUGCAACGCGAAGAACCUUACCUGGGCUUGACAUGUAAUGAACAACAUGUGAAAGCAUGCGACUCUUCGGAGGCGUUACACAGGUGCUGCAUGGCCGUCGUCGGCUCGUGUCGUGAGAUGUUUGGUUAAGUCCAGCAACGAGCGCAACCCCUGUUGCCAGUUACCAGCACGUGAAGGUGGGGACUCUGGCGAGACUGCCAAGAUCAACUGGGAGGAAGGUGGGGACGACGUCAGGUCAGUAUGGCCCUUAUGCCCAGGGCUGCACACGUACUACAAUGCCCAGUACAGAGGGGGCCGAAGCCGCGAGGCGGAGGAAAUCCUAGAAACUGGGCCCAGUUCGGACUGUAGGCUGCAACCCGCCUACACGAAGCCGGAAUCGCUAGUAAUGGCGCAUCAGCUACGGCGCCGUGAAUACAUUCCCGGGUCUUGCACACACCGCCCGUCA
RNAcentral lists this ribosomal RNA (1120 nucleotides) under uncultured bacterium. Its description in RNAcentral is "bacterial SSU rRNA". It matches the Rfam family "Bacterial small subunit ribosomal RNA", at positions 268 to 1399 of the family's 1533-position model. The record is from RNAcentral.